This is a non-coding RNA of Leptosomus discolor (cuckoo roller), 851 nucleotides long. Lineage: Eukaryota; Metazoa; Chordata; Aves; Leptosomiformes; Leptosomidae. The record is from RefSeq and is a predicted model, not a curated record.
GAUCCGAGACGAGUGGGGUAACCAGAUCUGGAUCUGUCCUGGCUGUAACAAGCCAGAUGAUGGCAGUCCAAUGAUAGGUUGUGAUGACUGCGAUGAUUGGUAUCACUGGCCUUGCGUUGGGAUUACCACUGCACCCCCAGAAGAGAUGCAAUGGUUCUGCUCCAAGUGUGCCAACAAAAAGAAGGAUAAAAAACACAAGAAGAGGAAGCACAGGGCACACUGAAGGCUUUGCAGCGGACUGAAGUCGUGCGGUCGCCGCGGCACCUCCUGCCCUGACUCCCGUUGCGGGGGAGGUCCAGCCUGCUCGUGUCUCACCCUUCGUCACCGGCUGUUAGGGUUAUGACUCUGGAGUGAAUCAGGGGCGAGGAGAUGCUCUCUGUCAGGGCCUGUUGCGUUUUGCAGACCGUCCGAGCCCAGGGCGUUGGAUUUUGGUACAUUCUGAAUCGUUUCUUUCGCCUACCGGAGGAAAUUUGCACAGAGCGAUAUGAAGACUUGGGUAGUUCAUGGUACCGCUCCCGCUCCUGUGGCUCGGCAGCAGCAAAGAUGAAUGUUGUAAAUACAGAUGUUUGUCCUAUUCUUUCUCGAUUUGUUAUUAAUCCCUCUGGAACCUUUGCAGGAAGGUGCUGAGAGGAGGGGAAAAUGUAAAUUGCAGUAAGUUGUAAACUGAGGAGACCUUCUGGAAUAGUUUCUGUAGCCUGGAUGCAGUUCAGCCUCUACUCCUGCUGAGCCAGAUAGUCAUAAAGUGGAAAUAAAAAGUGGCUGGUAAAUAUUUUUGUGACAAGAAUAUAUGAAGCUUUUUCCCUUGAUUUUUAGUACUAACAUAAAAUAAACACGUUCGAGCUUUUGUGAUA